Molecule: long non-coding RNA, 229 nt
Filed under: Elaeis guineensis (African oil palm)
Lineage: Eukaryota; Viridiplantae; Streptophyta; Magnoliopsida; Arecales; Arecaceae
Description: long non-coding RNA (EGUI_LNC042069)
Source: RNAcentral
AUCUGCUCGGGAUAUUCUCCUGUGGUAAUAGAAAUCUCUUCCUACGAUAUCGUCUCUCAUCCUCUUGAGUCUCGUAUCUCGUGCUCGAUCCACCUCCACCUAGGGCUCCAUCUUGCUCUGGACUCCUCCUGACUUUUGAAGCUCCACCUCGCACUGGAUCUUUGUCAGGUAGUAAUGUCCUCUUGUCCUCUUCUUCUCCUGUAGAAUAACCCUAUCAUCGUGCAACACC